GUACUCUGGUUUCCCUUCAAAACGUAUAAAUCUUUCGCCUUUUACUAAAGAUUUCCGUGGAGGGGAACACUCAAAUGAGUCUAACUCUACUUUUUGAAGCCUCACCCUAGGUGAGGU
Danaus plexippus plexippus is the source of this 117-nucleotide small nuclear RNA. It matches the Rfam family "U5 spliceosomal RNA". Rfam says of the family: U5 RNA is a component of both types of known spliceosome. The precise function of this molecule is unknown, though it is known that the 5' loop is required for splice site selection and p220 binding, and that both the 3' stem-loop and the Sm site are important for Sm protein binding and cap methylation. Lineage: Eukaryota; Metazoa; Arthropoda; Insecta; Lepidoptera; Nymphalidae. The record is from Rfam.